UCCCCGAUAGCUCAGUUGGUAGAGCAAGUGACUGUUAAUCACUGGGUCGCAGGUUCGAGUCCUGCUCGGGGAGCCA
Molecule: transfer RNA, 76 nt
Filed under: Halomonas elongata
Lineage: Bacteria; Pseudomonadati; Pseudomonadota; Gammaproteobacteria; Oceanospirillales; Halomonadaceae
Also listed under: 13 other names
Description: tRNA-Asn
Rfam family: tRNA
About the family: Transfer RNA (tRNA) molecules are approximately 80 nucleotides in length. Their secondary structure includes four short double-helical elements and three loops (D, anti-codon, and T loops).
Source: RNAcentral